ACGGCGAGUGAAGCGGCAACAGCUCAAAUUUGAAAUCUGGCCCCCGGGCCCGAGUUGUAAUUUGCAGAGGAUGCUUUUGGCGAGGCGCCUUCCGAGUUCCCUGGAACGGGACGCCACAGAGGGUGAGAGCCCCGUCUGGUUGGAUGCCGAGCCUCUGUAAAGCUCCUUCGACGAGUCGAGUAGUUUGGGAAUGCUGCUCUAAAUGGGAGGUAUAUGUCUUCUAAAGCUAAAUACCGGCCAGAGACCGAUAGCGCACAAGUAGAGUGAUCGAAAGAUGAAAAGCACUUUGAAAAGAGGGUUAAACAGUACGUGAAAUUGUUGAAAGGGAAGCGCUUGUGACCAGACUUGGGCCCGGCGGAUCACCCAGCGUUCUCGCUGGUGCACUCCGGCGGGCCCAGGCCAGCAUCAGCUCGUCCCGGGGGACAAAGGCUCUGGGAAUGUGGCUCCUCCGGGAGUGUUAUAGCCCUCUGCGCAAUGCCCUGGGGCGGGCUGAGGACCGCGCAU
This 504-nucleotide ribosomal RNA is filed under the name Claviceps paspali (paspalum staggers ergot). RNAcentral's name for it is "partial large subunit ribosomal RNA". It matches the Rfam family "Eukaryotic large subunit ribosomal RNA", at positions 86 to 600 of the family's 3401-position model. The record is from RNAcentral. Lineage: Eukaryota; Fungi; Ascomycota; Sordariomycetes; Hypocreales; Clavicipitaceae.